Molecule: ribosomal RNA, 429 nt
Filed under: Chloroflexota bacterium
Lineage: Bacteria; Bacillati; Chloroflexota
Description: Chloroflexi bacterium partial 16S ribosomal RNA
Rfam family: Bacterial small subunit ribosomal RNA
Source: RNAcentral
UGGGGAAUAUUGCACAAUGGGCGCAAGCCUGAUGCAGCCAUGCCGCGUGUGUGAAGAAGGCCUUCGGGGUGUAAAGCACUUUCAGCGGGGAGGAAGGCGAUAAGGUUAAUAACCUUGUCGAUUGACGUUACCCGCAGAAGAAGCACCGGCUAACUCCGUGCCAGCAGCCGCGGUAAUACGGAGGGUGCAAGCGUUAAUCGGAAUUACUGGGCGUAAAGCGCACGCAGGCGGUCUGUCAAGUCGGAUGUGAAAUCCCCGGGCUCAACCUGGGAACUGCAUUCGAAACUGGCAGGCUAGAGUCUUGUAGAGGGGGGUAGAAUUCCAGGUGUAGCGGUGAAAUGCGUAGAGAUCUGGAGGAAUACCGGUGGCGAAGGCGGCCCCCUGGACAAAGACUGACGCUCAGGUGCGAAAGCGUGGGGAGCAAACAGG